RNAcentral lists this long non-coding RNA (1432 nucleotides) under Homo sapiens (human). RNAcentral's name for it is "HSALNT0124839". The record is from RNAcentral. Lineage: Eukaryota; Metazoa; Chordata; Mammalia; Primates; Hominidae.
CAGGAUUAUGAGAAAAAGCAAUAAAGGAAGACAUCAAUUCUCAAGCGAAUAAUUUCUUCUAUAGAGCCUGCUAAACAACACCAACGGUCCCUAUGAUGAAAAAUAAACCCCCCUUCAAAUAUAUUUAUAAAAUUUGUUUGAUCACAAUGUGGUCCAAACCAGUAGUCACUAUAUGUGAUUUUCCAUGUCUUUGCUUUCAUCCAAUAAGUGUUGAGUCAUUUUCUACUCACAAAAUCUACCUGAUGCCAUUUCCAAAUCCUUUAAAAAGAGGUGUUCGGAGGAGCAUCUUAUACUACCUGUAGAUACAUCCUUAGACAUAAAGAAUCCUUUAGUCCAUGAAAUCAGAUUUACUUUUGGAUGAAACCUUGUUUGCUGCUCUGUUCACACUGCUGUCUCUGACUAAUCUUACUCCAUGUAUGCUUCAAAUGAGCCACAGAAAGAGCUUUUAGAUCAAAGCAGUAGUGUGAAUUGUCAAAAAGACAUCAGGUUCCGCAAGAAAGCAAGACGGAGCUUAGACUCUCUGUAAUGAGGAACAGUAUUUCUGCAAGAUGUAAAGCUGUCUUCUGCUAGGAAGAUUCCAGAGUUAGAAUCAUGGAAAGCCUGGUUAAAACAAAGCUAAAUAAUGUUGUAUGGAGGUAUGUGUCUAUAACUCUAAGAGAAGACAAAGUAUUAUUACACAGUAAUCUGUUUGACUAUGGAAUUCUGUUCUAGUAGAACACCUACUAACAGGCAAUGGAACUAGGGUUUGGGGGGAUACAGCUUAAGUAUCAACAUUUGCGUUCAAAUAUAAAUACAAAAAUCAAUUCAAUAAUACAUACAAAGCCUUUGGGUCUUCUUUAUUGCUGUUCUCCCCACCAGGGAGUUGAAGUUGAUUGGAGGAGCAGCUAUUAGUAGGAAACUUGUAAUAAUUAAUAAUAAAUAGGUGGUACUGAUAUCAGAGAGAAGCCAUAAACCCUGGUUCUCCAAGUGUAAUCUGUAAACAACCCGUAUCAAAAUCAUCUGAGUUUCUUUACAAAGCUCCAGAUUCCUGAGACUCUCUGUCGUUUUACUGAAUAAGAAUCUCUGAAGAUGGACCACAGGAGGGUGCAUUUUAAAUAGACUCACCAUGAUGCUUUUAUGUAUUUUAGAAUAAUUUUUUUAGAAUAAUUUUAGAAUAAUUUUUAUGUACUUUAGAAUCAUUUUUAGAAUAAUUUUGAAUUUUAGAAUAAUUUAAUUAGAUUUUUCAUUUAUCUUAGGAAAUGACAAGGCAUUUAGAUUCAAAACAUUUUGGAGACCACCUGGCAUCCACCAUGCCCUGGGAUUUAGGCAAUAACGUCCUAGUCAAAAAGAAAAAAACUUUUGUAAAGAUUGCUUCAGCACCAGUAUAUAUAAGUUUCUCCAAUAUCUCUCCAAAACUUCCUAUCAUGUUAUAUCCAAAGAGGUUUGUCAUUAC